Aedes aegypti (yellow fever mosquito) is the source of this 1465-nucleotide long non-coding RNA. RefSeq lists it as uncharacterized. Lineage: Eukaryota; Metazoa; Arthropoda; Insecta; Diptera; Culicidae. The transcript has 2 exons. The record is from RefSeq and is a predicted model, not a curated record.
AUUCGCCUUUUUGGGCUUAUAGAGCUAUUAUACGGCUAAUAUAGGGCAUGUCUGCUGUAUAAUAGCACUAUAUUAGCAGGCAGGGCACAUUAAAGUGCUAUUGAUUAAUUGAAUUUCAUUCAAAUGAAUAAGAGAUGCAACUUUUUACUUACUCUCGAAGUGCACAUUUUAUUAUUAUUGAUGAGUAACGGUGCCGGCCAAGUCCUUACGGUCAGUUGGGAUGCGGAAAGAAUAUUAUUGUGUAAUGACUGUUGCAUCUGGAGACCGAGAAUAUCUCUACAUCCCCACAUCACGGAGAGGAUGUUGAUUAGUGAGGGAGGAAAAAGAUCUGGGAGUCACCUUUUGACGAUCUUGCGAUCCAUGGAUAGAGAGGAAAACUAUGACUCUUACGUAAAACUUAGUUUUCCAUUUUUGUCUCGCGGUGAAAAGAUAUUGGGAGAUAUUGGCAGAAAAUGGAAAAUGUAUAUCCUUGAUGGCAGCCCUGCGCCUAACGAGUGUAGAACUUCUACACUGAACCAACUAAUCCGAUUGCAUUUAUCUGAAAAAUCAUAUAUCCAUACCGGAAUCGUAAUUUAAUAGAUUUCAUAGUUAUCCAUUAAAACCUAUAUGAGGAUCCAAUAAAGGUUGAAUAUUAUUCAUAUGAAAGCAAUUUGAACUUCACAUAAAACAUAUUGGAUAUCAAUUGUCUGGCCGAUUAUCACAAAAUCAGAUAAAUGGUGUAUGAUUGUAUAAUGUGAAAAAAAUCCUAUUAUCUGUUUAUCUACAGUCGACCAUGUCAGUCAUUGCACAGUUUGCUAGUGAAUCUUUUAAUCUGAGUUGUUGCAAGUUUUCAAAGGUAAGUUGUAAAAACAGUUGAUAGCUAAUAUUUAUACAGUAUAAUAUGUUUUUCUUCUAUUACAGAAUGUGGCAUUACUUUUUGACCCUGCCUCAUAAUUCUUUUUUCUAAAAUUGCAUUCCAACGAUAAAUUGUAUGCUCAUGAUUAAGGAAGCAGCGUGCCACAAUAUUUUCAGCAGAAGCAUUCUAGGUGAUGGAUCCGAUUGGCCAUAUGGUCAUUGGUACCGGGCCCCAAAGAGAAAGCGGUCAGACGAUAGCUUCGACCAGAGGGAAGAAGAAGAAGAUACAUCCGAGCUCUAACCUUUUGCUCCCUUUUCUUCGCUGUUGACUACAUCUGGUAAACCAAAUGAAAUUACCUUAGUUGACUACUCUGAUAUGACUGCUAUGUACCUCAUGAAAUGCUAAAUAAAUAUGUUAAAUGGUAAAACUGCAUAUAAAUGCCUAAACGUUUGUAUUUAUUUCAAAAUUUUCAUUAGAGAAACCAAUAUAAUCUUUAAUGGUUUCAUUUGAAGGUUAUAUGAUUCAGUCUAUGAUUUCAGCUGCAAUUGGUUUCACUAGAUAUCUACUUUUUAUAUAAAAGUUAUGUGAAGUUCGUAAUGAACUCUAUCUAUAGGAUUUCAAAAUGAAAGU